This is a long non-coding RNA of Asterias rubens (European starfish), 2225 nucleotides long. RefSeq lists it as uncharacterized. The transcript is spliced from 10 exons. The record is from RefSeq and is a predicted model, not a curated record. NCBI's taxonomy places the organism in Eukaryota, Metazoa, Echinodermata, Asteroidea, Forcipulatida, Asteriidae.
AACGUCGAAACUCGAGUGCCCUAUUUUAUUCUACGAGAAAUUCAGUUUUUACUAUGUUCCAUCGUCACAAAUGCUACCAGAAAAGUGUGAUGCUUAGCUACAGACACACCAUUGUCAGAUAAAGCCAACCUCUUCAGAUGUAGAUGCAUGAUGGGAAUAUAGCCCAGCUUCAACCAUUCAAUGAUGACUUCUUCAACAGGAGGGAAGAGGCUAGCUGCAGACACACCAUCAUUAGAUGAAGUCUAGCUCUCCAUCAGAAGUAGAUGCAUGAAGCUAUCAAGAUUCAAGGAUAUCUUCUGACAGGCUAGACUUGUACAAACACGCCAUUGUCACAUGAAGUCUACUUUUCCAGUAGUAGAUGUAUGAUGAGCAUGCUGCCCAGUGUCAAGGAUGUAUUCCCCAGCAAAAGGCUAGCUGCUGACAUAAUUAUGCCAGAUGAAGUCUUCCUCUCCAGAAGUAGAUACAUACAUGAAGCCCACCCUCAAGGUUUAAGGAUGUCUUCAUCAACAGCCUGGCUACAGACACUUCAUUGUCAGAUGAACUCCACUCUCCAGAAGUAGUUAUGCAUGAGGGGAAUGCUGCCGAGUGUCAAUAUAGAACGAUGUCCAGCAACAGGCUAGAGCCAGACAUGCCAUUGUCAGAUGAAGUCUACCCCUCCAAAAGUAAACGAAUCCUGCCCAGUGUCAAGAUACAACGAUGUCUUCUCCUGCAAAAGUGAGGGUCACAUCUCUAGAGAGGUCUACUCAUCAACCAAGUAGAUGUCUGAGACCUGCAGCUGAUAUGCUACCUAACAAUGUGUAACGAGUCUCGUAAAUGAACUGCUCCCAUUUUAAUAAAAGAUAUUUCUGUCUGAUCCAAAAAGUAUAUUCCUGAGAUCUGCCUGUGCCUAACAUUGGCCUAUCGUCUACACAUCAACACAUAGAUGUGUGAAGCUAAAAACAGCAUGAGAACGCUGAUAUGCUUCAACCAAGUGUGUUGCAAAUAACCAUUACUACGAUCAUGAAAGGUUAAAAGAUUGAGGAGAGCAACGCUUCAAGGCAUUCUACGCAUCAAGUCAUUAUGGAUGAACAACCGACCAACUUGUUGAUUACAUUUGUAAACGCGUAGACUUUUUAACUAACGAUGUUUAGUACAUUUCCUUACUUCUACAUGAAUGUUAUUGUAAAAAGUAAGUGCACCAUUUGCAAGCAAGCACACAAUGUUUAUUUUAAACUCAUUAAGUCAGAGAUCUGGGUAGUAAUGUUUGGACUGGAAGUAAAAAGCACUGAUUGUGCAAUGGUACGAUUACUGGCUAUGUGAUGGUUCAAUGAAUAGUGGAAUGAGUGGUUUGAUAAAAUAGUGGUGUGGUGGCCAAGCUCUGGACUAACCUUACCAGGAUAAAAUUGCCCAGAUAACACUGCUUGCAAGGUGCACCUAUUUUAUUCAAAAAUUUAAUUUAAAACAAUCUUAAAGUAUUACAGACAUGGUAUUUUUUCAGAUUUCGGAUUUCAAUUUAACUCAACUGAACAAGUCUGUGCAAAAGCCCCAAAGCAAACACCACAUGUACUUGAAGGUCAAUAAAAUGUUCCUUCCUCAUUCUCAAAGGCCAAAAGCCUUUAAUAUAAGUACUUCUAUUUUCAUUUUAUGACUUUGUGUUCAUGAGCUACAAUGGACAAAUCCUUGAAAGAAAUGAAAUAAAAUUUCUAAAUCCAAAGCUUACAUUUUGUGAGAAUGUUCUUCACAAAUGAGGUCUUAUUUGUGACUGCUCAAGUAAAACCCUAUUUACUUUUGACCCAAUUUGGGGAUAAGCAGUGAGAUUUUGGUAUUUACCUUGAAAAUUCUAAAAAAUAUGCUGAGUGAAAAUAUGGUCCAUUGGCUCAAUUAUAUUCAAUUUCAUGGUUGUCCCACAUUUAUUGUAGUUGCCAAAUGUUUGGGGUUUUAAAAUCAAACUGAUGAAUGCGCACAGAAUGUCUGCAAAACAGACAUCUUUGCUAUAAUAGCUUAACAUAAAAACCUAACUUGAUGACAAGUUUGCAGGUUGAGUUGAAUGAAUUUACUUUUGAGUGUAGUUAAUCCACUUUGUAAUGAGCAGCAGAGAGCUGUUUAUAAUAUAAAACAUUAUGCGAAACGGCUGCCUCUGAAGUAACGUAAAGUUUUUAAAGUGUACCUCAAAAUCAUUAAACCUUAAAGGCACUGUACAUGUUUGGUAAUUACUUUAAAUAUAUAUUAGCAUAAAACCUUACUUG